Molecule: ribosomal RNA, 500 nt
Filed under: uncultured bacterium
Lineage: Bacteria
Description: partial 16S ribosomal RNA
Rfam family: Bacterial small subunit ribosomal RNA
Source: RNAcentral
AUUGAACGCUGGCGGAAUGCUUUACACAUGCAAGUCGAACGGCAGCACGGACUUCGGUCUGGUGGCGAGUGGCGAACGGGUGAGUAAUGUAUCGGAACGUGCCCAGUCGUGGGGGAUAACGUAGUGAAAAUUACGCUAAUACCGCAUACGAUCUAUGGAUGAAAGCGGGGGAUCGCAAGACCUCGCGCGAUUGGAGCGGCCGAUAUCAGAUUAGGUAGUUGGUGGGGUAAAGGCCAACCAAGCAAAAGAUCUGUAGCUGGUCUGAGAGGACGACCAGCCACACUGGAACUGAGACACGGUCCAGACUCCUACGGGAGGCAGCAGUGGGGAAUUUUGGACAAUGGGCGAAAGACUGAUCCAGCCAUUCCGCGUGCAGGAUGAAUGCACUCGGGUUGUAAACUGCUUUUGUACAGAACGAAAAGGUUUCUACUAAUACUAGGAGCUCAUGACGGUACCGUAAGAAUAAGCACCGGCUAACUACGUGCCAGCCGCCGCGGUAA